GAGGGCUAUACAAUCCAUAUGAAUACUGAAUCCAAUGAAAAUAGAUCAAAGCAGUAUUUCAAUCUAAAAGCCAUCCUAAUGUCGAGAGAACACCAAAAGACUCACCAUGUUCAUGUGUGUUAGCAUUUCACAAUCAUUUUUAUAGGCUUUCUCAUGCUACUCACCAUGUCACUAAGCGCUAGGUAUAUGCAAAUUAGACUCACACUUAGUGGCACUAGAUAACCAUUACAAUUAAAGAUUUCCCCUCUUUAUAGUAUGGUUAUCUAUCCAAAAUCCACUCACACCCGCUCGGUGUCUUGAGUGGUAAAACAAAAUGACCCUAAUAAAAAUACCUUUGCCAUGAGCCCAUUUUGUUUUCCUGUUUCUUCAUUUCCAAGUUGGAGGACUUGAAUAUCAUCUUUUGGUCUCCUCCAUCACCA
Molecule: long non-coding RNA, 419 nt
Filed under: Sorghum bicolor (sorghum)
Lineage: Eukaryota; Viridiplantae; Streptophyta; Magnoliopsida; Poales; Poaceae
Description: long non-coding RNA (SBIC_LNC008802)
Source: RNAcentral